Molecule: ribosomal RNA, 492 nt
Filed under: uncultured bacterium
Lineage: Bacteria
Description: partial 16S ribosomal RNA
Rfam family: Bacterial small subunit ribosomal RNA
Source: RNAcentral
AGUGAACGCUGGCGGUAGGCCUAACACAUGCAAGUCGAACGGCAGCACAGUAAGAGCUUGCUCUUACGGGUGGCGAGUGGCGGACGGGUGAGGCAUACAUCGGAAUCUACUUUUUCGUGGGGGAUAACGUAGGGAAACUUACGCUAAUACCGCAUACGACCUACGGGUGAAAGCAGGGGAUCUUCGGACCUUGCGCGAUUGAAUGAGCCGAUGUCGGAUUAGCUAGUUGGCGGGGUAAAGGCCCACCAAGGCGACGAUCCGUAGCUGGUCUGAGAGGAUGAUCAGCCACACUGGAACUGAGACACGGUCCAGACUCCUACGGGAGGCAGCAGUGGGGAAUAUUGGACAAUGGGCGCAAGCCUGAUCCAGCCAUACCGCGUGGGUGAAGAAGGCCUUCGGGUUGUAAAGCCCUUUUGUUGGGAAAGAAAAGCGGCAUGUUAAUACCCCGCUGUUCUGACGGUACCCAAAGAAUAAGCACCGGCUAACUUCGUG